GACAGAGGGUGCAAGCGUUGUUCGGAAUCAUUGGGCGUAAAGCGCGCGUAGGCGGCUGCGUAAGUCGGAUGUGAAAGCCCAGGGCUCAACUCUGGAAGUGCAUCCGAAACUGUGCAGCUUGAGUCCCGGAGAGGGUGGUGGAAUUCCCAGUGUAGAGGUGAAAUUCGUAGAUAUUGGGAGGAACACCGGUGGCGAAGGCGACCACCUGGACGGAGACUGACGCUGAGGUGCGAAAGCGUGGGUAGCAAACAGG
This 253-nucleotide unclassified non-coding RNA is filed under the name uncultured Myxococcales bacterium. RNAcentral describes it as "contains 16S-23S intergenic spacer region". It matches the Rfam family "Bacterial small subunit ribosomal RNA", at positions 524 to 776 of the family's 1533-position model. The record is from RNAcentral. Lineage: Bacteria; Pseudomonadati; Myxococcota; Myxococcia; Myxococcales.